AUUGAACGCUGGCGGCAUGCUUUACACAUGCAAGUCGAACGGCAGCAUGGAAGAGCUUGCUCUUCUGAUGGCGAGUGGCGAACGGGUGAGUAAAGCAUCGGAACGUACCGUGUAGUGGGGAUAACGUAGCGAAAGUUACGCUAAUACCGCAUACGCACUGAGGUGGAAAGCAGGGGAUCGCAAGACCUUGCGCUAUACGAGCGGCCGAUGUCAGAUUAGCUAGUUGGUAGGGUAAAGGCCUACCAAGGCGACGAUCUGUAGCGGGUCUGAGAGGAUGAUCCGCCACACUGGGACUGAGACACGGCCCAGACUCCUACGGGAGGCAGCAGUGGGGAAUUUUGGACAAUGGGCGAAAGCCUGAUCCAGCCAUGCCGCGUGAGUGAAGAAGGCCUUCGGGUUGUAAAGCUCUUUUCGGCUGGGAAGAAAUCGCACAGGCUAAUACUCUGUGUGGAUGACGGUACCAGCACAAGAAGCACCGGCUAACUACGUG
RNAcentral lists this ribosomal RNA (490 nucleotides) under uncultured bacterium. RNAcentral describes it as "bacterial SSU rRNA". It matches the Rfam family "Bacterial small subunit ribosomal RNA", at positions 30 to 507 of the family's 1533-position model. The record is from RNAcentral.